CAAAAUCCUCAAAAAUGAUUCCUGGUAUAAUAUUUGUGUUUUUGUAGUUUCUUAAUUACUUGGCCUAAAGAAUCUUACUUUCUAUUUUGCACGAUUGAUUAAUCUUCUGAAUCUUUAUCGACUUUGGUCUUAAAUCAGUAGUUUUGUUGUUAAAUUUGCAUGUUCUGUUGCCUUUAAGGCCUCUGCAAUAUUAUGAGAAGGAAAAAUUCUUGCUUCUUAAUUGUGUUUGUUAGAAUAUCUUUGCUGCAGCUGGUGCAUUCUGAUGCAAGAAGUUUCUUUAGUUAAUAUUCUAGUUAUGUUAUUUUGUCAUAGUGGAUUUGUGCCUUUUUACUGCGAAGUCUAUUUGAAGAACCGAUCAAAUGGAAAUUUGAUGAUGGUUAUCAUGGAGAUAUUAUUAGAGGAAUGUCUUCAUGCGUUAAAUGUUUCAUAGCUAAUAAAUAAUAGUGUGUGAAGUCUAGAACAAUUUGGGGAUCUGAGUAUGUUACUAUGGCUGAACUUAGCAAGUUUUUUUUUUAAUUAUUAUUAUUUGUUUUUCUGUUGGUCUUAAAUAGAUAUUUAGUACAAGUAGCAUAAUAAUGAUCAAGUCAUGAGAGCUAAACAUGUGGGGUAAUGGUGGAUUUAUUGCGGGAAGUUGCAGGAAGAUGCAUGUACUCAUUUGAAAGAUAUGGGAAAUUGCUUGUAGCUGAAUUUAUUUAUAUAUCUUGAUUAAGCAUUGUCUAUUCUAAUGUUUGUUAUUAAUAACUAAUGGACUGUGUUAUCUUCUUCUGCAGUUAUGUUGAUGGGCACUUUAGUU
This 793-nucleotide unclassified non-coding RNA is filed under the name Hevea brasiliensis (rubber tree). Lineage: Eukaryota; Viridiplantae; Streptophyta; Magnoliopsida; Malpighiales; Euphorbiaceae. The record is from RNAcentral.